Molecule: ribosomal RNA, 888 nt
Filed under: Triticum aestivum (bread wheat)
Lineage: Eukaryota; Viridiplantae; Streptophyta; Magnoliopsida; Poales; Poaceae
Description: partial small subunit ribosomal RNA
Source: RNAcentral
AUGAGGGCUAAUGAUAUAAGCAAGAGGUCCAAAUCUUCGUCAUCGUCUAAUACUCCGUCGGCUACCACGACCACGGGAGGGGUGGUGCCCAUGCAGAUUGCCACAGCCACACAUGCUCCCUGUGGCCCUUCGUCGCCGGGGAAAUUCAUUGCUGUUACACCACCGAACCCGCAUCGGCGUACGUCUUCCAAGCCAGCUUCUCCGACUUCUCAGGGGUCUUCACCGUUGGGUGGCCCGAUUACAACUCCAGCGCACUUGGCGCCGAGGAACAUUUCUACUCCGGCCCAACUUCCUGAGUCGGCUAUUCGGUCGCCGCCUUCACCGACUCUACCUGUGGUUCGACUCCACCGUGACGAGACACAUUCCUCACUGGAGGGGCGUGCAUUUCCGGAGGGCGCCGCAGCGGAUGUGCCGCCGCUUCCUUCGUCUGGACAGCAGUCACCCUCUCGACGGGGGGUGAUCUUCUCCCCGUCUGUUCGGGCUGAUCACGAGCUGGCGAUGGCGGAGCUGCGGGCUCUGUCGUCUGCGCCAUCAUCACUAGGAGGGGCGUCGACGACCGGUGCGAUCGCGGCGGAGGAGGAUGAAGCACAGCCCUCGCGGUCUUCGACAUCAUCGUCGGACCCAUCUACGCUGCCUUUCAGGGUCUCCGGGACACUUGCUGCUGCAGAAUCCACACCCACACCCCUCAGAUGUAGCGGCCGUCACCUCGUUAGUGCUGACGGCGCAUCAGCUACCGACGAGGAUUCGAUGCUGAAGGCCAUGCGCAUAACGGCUUCUCGCAACCUCGACUUCAAAGGUACUUCCGCUCGCAAAUCUAUUCUGUCUUUUGAUAAAGCCAAAGUUUCUUCAAAUAUUGCUAGUCUUGGUAUUUCAUUAGGAAGAAAUUAA